RNAcentral lists this ribosomal RNA (274 nucleotides) under uncultured bacterium. RNAcentral's name for it is "partial 16S ribosomal RNA". It matches the Rfam family "Bacterial small subunit ribosomal RNA", at positions 523 to 796 of the family's 1533-position model. The record is from RNAcentral.
AUACGGAGGGUGCAAGCGUCAAUCGGAAUUACUGGGCGUAAAGCGUACGUAGGCGGUUAUUUAAGUCAGAUGUGAAAGCCCCGGGCUUAACUUGGGAACUGCAUUUGAAACUGGGUAACUAGAGUUUAGUAGAGGGGAGUGGAAUUUCAGGUGUAGCGGUGAAAUGCGUAGAGAUCUGAAGGAACACCAGUGGCGAAGGCGACUCCCUGGACUAAAACUGACGCUGAGGUACGAAAGCGUGGGUAGCAAACAGGAUUAGAAACCCUAGUAGUCC